Molecule: ribosomal RNA, 383 nt
Filed under: uncultured bacterium
Lineage: Bacteria
Description: bacterial SSU rRNA
Rfam family: Bacterial small subunit ribosomal RNA
Source: RNAcentral
AUUGAACGCUGGCGGCAUGCCUUACACAUGCAAGUCGAACGGCAGCGCGGGGCAACCUGGCGGCGAGUGGCGAACGGGUGAGUAAUAUAUCGGAACGUACCCUGGAGUGGGGGAUAACGUAGCGAAAGUUACGCUAAUACCGCAUACGAUCUAAGGAUGAAAGUGGGGGAUCGCAAGACCUCAUGCUCCUGGAGCGGCCGAUAUCUGAUUAGCUAGUUGGUAGGUAAAAGCCUACCAAGGCAUCGAUCAGUAGCUGGUCUGAGAGGACGACCAGCCACACUGGAACUGAGACACGGUCCAGACUCCUACGGGAGGCAGCAGUGGGGAAUUUUGGACAAUGGGCGCAAGCCUGAUCCAGCAAUGCCGCGUGAGUGAAGAAGGCC